AUCUUCAGUAAGAGCGCUGAGCUACCACCAUGAGGUCGCUGACAUCUGCUAUCCUGUUGUGUUCGCUCGCUGCAACCUCACAGGUUGAGGCGUCAACUUUGACGAAAGCAGCAUCUCAAAGGGACAACUUCUGGGAGAUUAUUAGCUCGGUGUUGGACGUCGUUUGCUUUCUUAAGGACUCCCCAUGGUGCGACCUUAACCAACGAUUGGGGUUGUUCAUCGGUGAUACUUAUUUCACAUAUGAAGAAGCUGACGCCGUUGGGAAGAAAAUCGCCCAACUUCGAAAAGAGGGAAUGCGGGAUCCGAAACAGAUCAUCGAAACGCUCCUCCGGUCCUUGGAGGUAGCAGAAAGAGCACUCCACAAUUACAAGCAACUGAGAGAGCUGAUUAACAAAAUAAAUGAACUAUUGAAUGAUGUCGAUACAAACGGGGAGCAAAAUGUGAAGACAUUGGGGAGACUGUAACUGAUACUGUGUCACCAAGUGAUUAAAUUUUUUGCAGUGA
Schistocerca gregaria is the source of this 504-nucleotide long non-coding RNA. RefSeq lists it as uncharacterized. The transcript is spliced from 2 exons. The record is from RefSeq and is a predicted model, not a curated record. NCBI's taxonomy places the organism in Eukaryota, Metazoa, Arthropoda, Insecta, Orthoptera, Acrididae.